Long non-coding RNA from Megalobrama amblycephala (Wuchang bream), 510 nucleotides. RefSeq lists it as uncharacterized. NCBI's taxonomy places the organism in Eukaryota, Metazoa, Chordata, Actinopteri, Cypriniformes, Xenocyprididae. The record is from RefSeq and is a predicted model, not a curated record. The transcript has 4 exons.
CCAGUGCAGGUCCACUAUCGCUUCAGGUGUUUUAUAGCUGCCGCAGAAAUUCCUCGGAAAGUGCGUCACAUCCUAUCGGCGCCCCCAACAAUCCACACUGAGCAAGAAAACUGCGCCUGGGCGCAAUUUGGAAAAUUCCUGUAGGGGUUUCAUGAGUCACCCAGACAGACGCCAGUCAGAUUGAGUCACUGAUCUAAUUCAGAGUCGACUAACUCUGUGCCAUGACGUCACCACUUUUUCAGGAUUAGUCAUGGAAUCCCUCCAUUGUUCCACUGCCUCGGGAGAACUGCCAUCAAAUCCCAAGAGGACCUAAAAAUGAAGGAAUACAUACAAAGACUGGAACUCAUGGAAUAUACACUUCUGUUCAAACGUUGGGGUGUUUUCUCCGAACAGAGCUACGGGUGUAGAGUUUGACUGCCAGCUGCACAUUCUGGUCCUGAUUAGUGAUGGGCAAGUGAAGCACCUCCUCCCAUUGAACAUGCCCCCCAGAUGACUUCAUCACCUUCGUCU